This 254-nucleotide ribosomal RNA is filed under the name uncultured bacterium. Its description in RNAcentral is "partial 16S ribosomal RNA". It matches the Rfam family "Bacterial small subunit ribosomal RNA", at positions 524 to 776 of the family's 1533-position model. The record is from RNAcentral.
UACGUAGGGUGCGAGCGUUGUCCGGAAUUAUUGGGCGUAAAGAGCUCGUAGGCGGUGUGUCACGUCGGCCGUGAAAACCUGCAGCUUAACUGUGGGCGUGCGGUCGAUACGGGCAUCACUGGAGUUCGGCAGGGGAGAACGGAAUUCCCGGCGUAGCGGUGAAAUGCGCAGAUAUCGGGAGGAACACCGGUGGCGAAGGCGGUUCUCUGGGCCUGUACUGACGCUGAGGAGCGAAAGCGUGGGGAGCGAACAGG